This 802-nucleotide ribosomal RNA is filed under the name uncultured bacterium. RNAcentral describes it as "bacterial SSU rRNA". It matches the Rfam family "Bacterial small subunit ribosomal RNA", at positions 8 to 800 of the family's 1533-position model. The record is from RNAcentral.
AGAGUUUGAUCCUGGCUCAGGACGAACGCUGGCGGCGUGCCUAACACAUGCAAGUCGAGCGAAUGAAAUUCCUUCGGGAACGGAUUUAGCGGCGGACGGGUGAGUAACACGUGGGCAACCUGCCUCAUAGAGGGGAAUAGCCUUCCGAAAGGGAGAUUUAAACCGCAUAAGAUUGUAGUCCGGCAUGGUACACCAAUUAAAGGGAGCAAUUCCGUUAGGAGAUGGGCCCCGCGGCGCAUUAGCUAGUUGGUGAGGUAACGGCUCACCAUAGCAAUGAUGUCUAGGGGUUUUGAGAGGAAGGCCCCCCACACUGGGACUGAGACACGGCCCCAGACUCNUACGGGAGGCAGCAGUGAGGAAUAUUGGACAAUGGAUGGAAAUCUGAUCCAGCCAUGCCGCGUGCAGGAAGACGGCCUUAUGGGUUGUAAAACUGCUUUUAUACGGNAGCAAUAAGGGUUACGAGUAAUCCGAUGAGAGUACUGUAUGAAUAAGGAUCGGCUAACUCCGUGCCAGCAGCCGCGGUAAUACGGAGGAUCCGAGCGUUAUCCGGAAUUAUUGGGUUUAAAGGGUGCGUAGGCGGCCAUUUAAGUCAGCGGUGAAAUUUUGCAGCUUAACUGUAACAGUGCCGUUGAUACUGUUUGGCUAGGAUUUGGUUGUAGUGUGCGGAAUGUGUGGUGUAGCGGUGAAAUGCUUAGAUAUCACACAGAACACCGAUUGCGAAGGCAGCACACUAAGUCAUUAUUGACGCUGAGGCACGAAAGUGUGGGGAUCAAACAGGAUUAGAUACCCUGGUAGUCCACAC